Molecule: non-coding RNA, 551 nt
Organism: Erythranthe guttata (spotted monkey flower)
Lineage: Eukaryota; Viridiplantae; Streptophyta; Magnoliopsida; Lamiales; Phrymaceae
Source: RefSeq, a predicted model, not a curated record
UCUUCUCUCUCCCUCCCUCUUCCAUCGAUUGUUCUCUUCUCUUUCUCAAAACUCUCGUUUUCUUCUCUCUCUAGCUUCCCACCGCUGCUUCGACGUCGCCUGCUCAAUCUCCGCAGUUUUAAUGACGUUAACUAUAAACGCUACAGAGCAUAAGGAAUCGCGGAAGACAGAGAGAGAACAGAAAUUAGAAGUAGAAAUCAGGAUGAAGCGAUGCCUCGUCACGGUGGAGAAGACAAUUGCAGGAAAUCGUCUCCGUACGAUUCGUCGAGAGAUCGACGCUCGAGUCACCACAAGGUCUUGGUGUUUGAACUACUAUGUAGUAAGUUUUUUCACAGGUCUUGGUGUUUGAACUACUCUGUAGUAAGUUUUUGCGGAGUGGAUUGUGUUCGUUGUUCAAAACAAGCGGUUCUCGUGUUGACAAGUGCGAUUUGAGUCAAAUUUAGUCGUAUAGAUAACUGUAGUCAUGUAUAGUUCCAUGUAGUUAUAUAUAUUUAUAUACAAGCUAUGUGGUUUUUCUGAUGUAUAGUGAUCUUGAUGAUUGUGUUUUUUUU